RNAcentral lists this unclassified non-coding RNA (341 nucleotides) under uncultured fungus. RNAcentral describes it as "partial contains small subunit ribosomal RNA, internal transcribed spacer 1, and 5.8S ribosomal RNA". The stretch from base 1 to 73 matches the Rfam family "Eukaryotic small subunit ribosomal RNA", at positions 1759 to 1831 of the family's 1831-position model. The record is from RNAcentral. Lineage: Eukaryota; Fungi.
ACAAACUUGGUCAUUUAGAGGAAGUAAAAGUCGUAACAAGGUUUCCGUAGGUGAACCUGCGGAAGGAUCAUUGCCGAUCGGACGCUCCCCUCGCCGUGUUCACGCACGCCGUGGGGUGGAGCGUCUUUUUCGACCAACCCAUGUGAACUCGUUUAUUGUGUUUAACACACCACUCCCCUUCGGGGGGGGAGGCGUGUCCAAACAUUUUACAACAAACCACAUUCAAUUAAACUCUUGACUGAGACUUAUAGGUCACGCCUAAAAACGUUGAUCUCAAAAACCUAACCAUUACAACUUUUAACAACGGAUAUCUUGGCUCGCGCAUCGAUGAAGAACGCAGC